UUUGAAUAUUUAAUGGUUUAAGAAGAACGCUUUUAAAAAGUUUCUGCAUAUGCGAUGUAAAUGCUCUGUAUUGAAUGCGAGGUAACAUCGGUUCAUGCAGGAAAAGAAACCAUCAGGUUUUCACUAACUUUCGAUAUGGAUGAUUCGAAGUAUUCCGAACGAAAAGUUUCACAGAUAUAAAGUUUUCCCAAUCAUAAAAGCAUAAAAAAGCGAGUAUUUAUUUGAACUCCAAACAAUAAUACCAGAAUGUUGAGAAAAGCUUUUGCAUACAAUUAAUACACAGAAAAAUAUUCGAAUUUCAAAUAAAAUUAUUUAGUAUUAUUUACAAGCCAGCACAACUUUUUGAUUUAAUUGCUGGAAGGCGUUUUAUUUUCCACACCUUUAUUACUAUUACACAUCUUGUAAAGACUUCGAGUGGGCAGUGAAAUUAAAUCGUAUGGGUCUGAAUUUGCUUGGAAUAUGGCCUAAUCCAAAAGAAAAUCCCAGAGAGAAAUUAAUGAGCAAUAUACGUGCGCUCUUUACAUUUCUGGUGAUGAUAACUGUAUUGGUGCCUUGUUUACAUUCAUUAAUUAAAGUUCAUUCUGAUGUCAUGCUAAUAAUAGAUAAUUUACAAAUUACUUUACCGAUACUUAGCACCGUUAUAAGGCUCCCAAUUUUUUGGUGGAAAAAAAAAGCAUUUACAUCGAUUAUAAACAUGAUCGUGGAGGACUGGCUAAAGUCAAAGAACAUUCAUGAAAGACAAACGAUGGUAAAAUGGGCGUUACGUGCACGUAUAUUUAUUACAUGCUCGUAUAUAAUGAUAGCAAUCGGACUAAUAACUCUUUUUGUCAUACCUAUUUUCGGAAAAUCAAUGACAUUGACACCGAAUAUCACUGAUUCUGGCAGGUCAUUGACCCUACCAACUUAUUACAUUUACGAUGUAACAAAGAGACCACAGUACGAAUUCACAAUUAUUAGUCAAUGGAUCUCUACCACCACGACAGGCAUUCUUUAUAUAGGAAUUGACAAUUUUUUUGGAUUAUUAGUUUUUCAUAUUUGUGGACAAUUGAGCAUCAUGAGGAAUCGUUUGAAACAUAGUCACGAAAAUUUUCGUGUUGUGUUGAGAGCUAAUGUGAUGUACCAUAUUCGAUUGCUUAGAGCUAUAAAUACUAUAGAAGAUACAUAUAACGUCAUUCUUUUAAUAUUAUUUCUGUAUUUUGGGAUAAUGUUUGUCUUCUGUGGAUUCCUACUAGUUACUCUGGUUGGAGAAGGAGAGACCAAUGUAUCAUUUACGCGUCUGUCAAUUCCUUUCAUGAUUAUCAUGUCUAUAUUCAUACAUAUGGGUAUUUAUUGCGCUGUUAAUGAAACGUUAAUGGCAGAAUGCAAUAAAAUUUAUCAUGAGGUGUACGAGUGUGAAUGGUAUUCCCUCGAUCCAAAAGAAGCAAAGGACUUAAUCCCAUUUAUGAUUAAAGUUAGUGAUCCUGUUUAUUUCACUGCUGGUAAAAUAUUUCCUGUAACAAUGGCUAUGCUUUGCAAUUUGAUAAAGACAUCGGCUGGUUAUGUAUCCGUUUUACUUACGGCACGGAAGAACUAAAAAUUUAGAUAGAAUUAAAUUGCUUUUAGCUUUUCCUAGAAUCACUAGAAUAAUUAAAAAAGCUUGGACUUGCAUUGCUAUGCUUUUAGAAAUUUAGAAUAGAAAUAUGAAAUAAAUAAAUUGUUAAAACGUAAUUCUUUGAUCAAAUAAUAUUACAUAAUAUUACAUAAUAAUAUUACAUAAGGAAACUUAACUUAAUGUUAACGUACCCAUUACAUUAGAAUAUAAUAAAACUAUUCUGCUGUUAUACUUUA
Molecule: unclassified non-coding RNA, 1827 nt
Filed under: Ooceraea biroi (clonal raider ant)
Lineage: Eukaryota; Metazoa; Arthropoda; Insecta; Hymenoptera; Formicidae
Description: odorant receptor 43a, transcript variant X7
Source: RNAcentral